Non-coding RNA from Meleagris gallopavo (turkey), 2684 nucleotides. Lineage: Eukaryota; Metazoa; Chordata; Aves; Galliformes; Phasianidae. The record is from RefSeq and is a predicted model, not a curated record.
GCCCCAUUGUAAACAGCUUCUUCCUUAUAUCCAAUCUAAAUCUCCCUUCUUUUAGUUUGAAACCAUUUUCCCUUCUGCUAUCACACGGAUCCUGCUAAGGGCCCUGCCCCUUCUUUCUUACAGCCCCUCUUUAGAUCUGUAGUUCAUCACCGCGAUCUGAGGAUGUGCCAGUGAGGAUACUGUUGGCUGUCCUGCCAGAAACAACAUUAGUUCCUGCCAACAGCUUUUAUGUGGUGUGUUCCAGGUGGCCGACCUACCAAAGGAAAUAGUUCUGUUUAACAAAGGUGGAGAGGCUUUCCCCUUGUGUAACAUCAGAUAGGGAAAGAAACAUGAGUCGAAUGUUAUCUACAUGUGAAAAAGGGGGCACAGAGGAGGUAAAGAAAAUGAGAGCAUACAGAGAAAAGAUAAUUUAACUAAUAGGCAUAGUCUGAGAAAGAACAUGUUUGCCCAGUGUGUGUCUAGAAACACUUGGAAAGUGGCCUAGGGCCUCCAGCUCAUGUCAACAGCUGGCAUAUUCCCAGAUCUGUAUCAGUAGCUGAUUAAAGAGAAAGGAAACUGUUCUGCAGCCCAAAGCAAGGUUAUUCCAAACUUGUAAUGUUUGUAAUUAUCUUUCUGUUCGUUUUACUUAUUCUUACAUUUCGUCAACACACGCUGAGAUGGAAGAGUGCAUCUCUCAAAACAUGAGUCCUGUCUUCAGGUGAAAAAUCACCACUGCCUUUCUAAAGGAGACUGCUAACCUGGCUGCUGAGUUUGUUGUCAGCUGGGCAGGGAGGACUUCAGCCCUAUGCCUAGGUUUGCUGGGGUACUGGUAGCACUGUUACUGGAAGAUGCCUCAUUUUAACAUCUUUCCAGAUUUGAUUAAGCUCUUGGCCCUAGAAAAGGACGGAGUUGUGUGCUGUGAGCGCUCUUUAGAAGUGCUGUUGCUUGAGAGGAAUUAUGUCCACCUUUAUUCAUGGAUGCAUGAUGGUAUGUUUGUGGUGGUAGUUACAAGUAAAAGGAGAAAGCAGUGCACUCGAGUUGGAUACUAUGACUGCAGCUUUAGGGGAAUGUUGCAGAAUGAGUUUGGGCAAUACAAGAGAGGGAACUGUUGUUGCCCUGCUGUCCCAUUGAGCUGACAGCUUGUGUUCUGGAUUCUCAGUAAAUAUUUGAUGUGUUGAGUGAGCUCUGAGGAGAGCAGCCAACUGUUGAAAUCUCACACCUAAAAGCUCCUGUUCCAGUAAAUUCUCCUGUUUGCACAUCCUGAUUCAGAACUGGAGCCUCUUCUUGGAAAAUGCUCCAGGAAGUAAACAACUGCACUCAGUAAAACCUGAUGGCUGCCUCCUACUGGUAAGGCCUAGCACCGGGGCAGUGCCUCCUCCUGAAAGAAAACAGCUUCUGCUAUUUCUUGUGCUUCACACCCUGGGUUUUGGGAUUCCCCUGGAAAUUCAGAGGCUCUGAGAGUCCUGGCAGCUUUCUUGUUUUGUCAGGGGACGGGUCUGUGAGCACUGCUGGAGCUGUGGGUGUCCCUGCGCACUGCAGGCAGUGAGAACGGACGGCCUUUGGGGGUCCCUUCCCAAACCCUUCUGUGAGUCUAUGAUUCUACAAUUCUACUUCUGGCAGAAUGAAGAGGUACUGUUUCCAAGGACCAGUCUGGAUGUUCAUCCUGUUUCCACUUGUCCUUACAGAUCGAAUGUGGUAUAUAGUAACCAUUUCUUUAGUUUAUUUCUUAGUGCUCUUUUCUCUUUCUUUGCUUCCAUGUGCUGCUGUGCCCACGUUUUGAUAUGGGCCCUGACGGCUCGCUACGCGGUGCGUAUCUGUCCUGUCUUGCAACUCUCCUGUCAGCUUGUACUGCACAUCAGACAGGAGUUUGCAGUGACAUUUGAGUGCAUAAAACGAAAGGCCGUGGGAGACAUCUCUAACUGGAACGAAUGUCUCUGCAGAAACCUUGGCUCGUGUCGCACCUUCCUGGGGCGUUCGCCGGGGGCAGAGCAGCUCCUCGGGUACGGGAGGACAUCUGCUGGCUGCUGUGCCGCGGUGCAGCCACGGCCGGAGGCGGUGCGAUGGGAGAGAAGGGUCUGAAGUUUCGUUUAAGGAUUGCUUCAAUGCAAAACAACCUUCUCGCUCAGAGACCUGUACUCAUCAGAGGGAGGAAGAACAGAAGGACACAGAGCAUGCAGAUCCUCUUCUCAACUCCUGAAGGGAUGAGAAGACAGCAGGUCUAGAUAUCACUGGCCUAAUCCACAGGGGGGGUAACAGAAACCCACUCAUCAUAGUAACAAUUAGUAUCCCAUAGUACCCCUGCAUCCAUCUCACCUUUUGCUACAGAUUGCAAGACCGUGUAUGCAACUCUGGGAGCAGACUUCCAGAGUUCUCCUUUGUUUAACCUCUUCAAGUUGGUUAUGAUGUAGCAAAUAGUAUGUUACCCAAACACCAGCCAUUGAUGCACAGAUAAAGAAAACCAAGGGGAAGCGGUUUGUAGGAAAGAUGUUUUUAUUCAGUGCACUAGAUGCUGGCGUCCUAAUGGAACACGACUUCAUAAUAUUGUAAAAAUCAUGUUGACCACAUCUGUUUGCUUACUGCCUUCUCUGUUGUGACGAGGCCCCAGCACUGCAGUGAUGCCUCUUCCAGCUGCCUUUCUGUGCAUUUGGUAGAUUUGCUUUGAUUCGCUUUAUCAAAUUCAUACUCAAUGAAGAAACCUUAACUGA